UGCCAGACUCCUACGGGAGGCAGCAGUGGGGAAUAUUGCACAAUGGGGGAAACCCUGAUGCAGCAACGCCGCGUGAGUGAAGAAGUCAUUCGUGAUGUAAAGCUCUAUCAGCAGGGAAGAAAAUGACGGUACCUGAGUAAGAAGCCCCGGCUAACUACGUGCCAGCAGCCGCGGUAAUACGUAGGGGGCAAGCGUUAUCCGGAUUUACUGGGUGUAAAGGGAGCGUAGACGGCGAUGCAAGCCAGAUGUGAAAGCCCGGGGCUCAACCCCGGGACUGCAUUUGGAACUGUGUGGCUGGAGUGUCGGAGAGGCAGGCGGAAUUCCUAGUGUAGCGGUGAAAUGCGUAGAUAUUAGGAGGAACACCAGUGGCGAAGGCGGCCUGCUGGACGAUGACUGACGUUGAGGCUCGAAAGCGUGGGGAGCAAACAGGAUUAGAUACCCCAGUAU
RNAcentral lists this ribosomal RNA (447 nucleotides) under uncultured bacterium. RNAcentral describes it as "bacterial SSU rRNA". It matches the Rfam family "Bacterial small subunit ribosomal RNA", at positions 329 to 793 of the family's 1533-position model. The record is from RNAcentral.